UCCCGCGCCUUCAUGGAUGGAAACGUAAACAAACAGUGAAAAUCGGUGUCACGAUCGGCGUUUCUGCCAAAUACCGAUAAUACCUACUCAUAUAAUUAUUGAUCAUAGGAUUUUAACCAGAAUUUUAGAGUGGACAUCGCCGCUUUACGUUAUUAAUCGCAAGGAACUCGGCCCAGAAAUGUUCUUGACAUGAGCAAGAGAAGUCUAUGGAGUCAUUUUACCC
Molecule: long non-coding RNA, 223 nt
Organism: Frankliniella occidentalis (western flower thrips)
Lineage: Eukaryota; Metazoa; Arthropoda; Insecta; Thysanoptera; Thripidae
Exons: 2
Source: RefSeq, a predicted model, not a curated record